This 272-nucleotide ribosomal RNA is filed under the name uncultured bacterium. RNAcentral describes it as "partial small subunit ribosomal RNA". It matches the Rfam family "Bacterial small subunit ribosomal RNA", at positions 26 to 285 of the family's 1533-position model. The record is from RNAcentral.
AGAAUCAACGCUGGCGGCGUGCCUAACACAUGCAAGUCGAACGCGAAAGUCCCGAAAGGGAUAAGUAGAGUGGCAAACGGGUGAGUAACACGUGGGUGACCUGCCUUCGAGCGGGGGAUAACGUCCCGAAAGGGACGCUAAUACCGCAUGACAUCCUGCCUUUGAAGAGGCGGAGAUCAAAGCCGGGGAUCGCAAGACCUGGCACUCGAAGAGGGGCCCGCGCCUGAUUAGCUAGUUGGUGGGGUAAUGGCUCACCAAGGCGACGAUCAGUA